CAAGUCGAACGCGGGCAGCAAUGCCCGAGUGGCGAACGGGUGAGUAAUACAUAAGUAACCUGCCCUUUACAGGGGGAUAACUAUUGGAAACGAUAGCUAAGACCGCAUAGGUAAAGAUACCGCAUGGUAAGUUUAUUAAAAGUGCCAAGGCACUGGUAGAGGAUGGACUUAUGGCGCAUUAGCUAGUUGGUGAGGUAACGGCUCACCAAGGCGACGAUGCGUAGCCGACCUGAGAGGGUGACCGGCCACACUGGGACUGAGACACGGCCCAGACUCC
This 277-nucleotide ribosomal RNA is filed under the name uncultured Bacillota bacterium. Its description in RNAcentral is "uncultured Firmicutes bacterium partial 16S ribosomal RNA". It matches the Rfam family "Bacterial small subunit ribosomal RNA", at positions 58 to 339 of the family's 1533-position model. The record is from RNAcentral. Lineage: Bacteria; Bacillati; Bacillota.